AUUGAACGCUGGCGGCAGGCCUAACACAUGCAAGUCGAACGGUAACAGAAAGCAGCUUGCUGCUUUGCUGACGAGUGGCGGACGGGUGAGUAAUGUCUGGGAAACUGCCUGAUGGAGGGGGAUAACUACUGGAAACGGUAGCUAAUACCGCAUAACGUCGCAAGACCAAAGAGGGGGACCUUCGCGCCUCUUGCCAUCGGAUGUGCCCAGAUGGGAUUAGCUAGUAGGUGGGGUAACGGCUCACCUAGGCGACGAUCCCUAGCUGGUCUGAGAGGAUGACAGGCCACACGGGAGCGGGGACACGGUCCAGACUCCUACGGGAGGCAGCAGUGGGAAAAAUGGCACAGGGGGGGCAAGCCUGAUGCAGCAUGCCGCGUGUAUGAAGAAGGCCUUCGGGUUGUAAAGUACUUUCAGCGGGGAGGAAGGGAGUAAAGUUAAUACCUUUGCUCAUUGACGUUACCCGCAGAAGAAGCACCGGCUAACUCCGUG
Molecule: ribosomal RNA, 489 nt
Filed under: uncultured bacterium
Lineage: Bacteria
Description: partial 16S ribosomal RNA
Rfam family: Bacterial small subunit ribosomal RNA
Source: RNAcentral